This 489-nucleotide small RNA is filed under the name Caenorhabditis elegans. RNAcentral's name for it is "Unclassified non-coding RNA Y75B8A.65". Lineage: Eukaryota; Metazoa; Nematoda; Chromadorea; Rhabditida; Rhabditidae. The record is from RNAcentral.
UUGGUGUGAAUAUUGUCCGAUAUGUGAUGAAAAGAUUAUCCGAAAAGAAGCCAACACGACAAGUGGAACGACAUCUAGAAUCACUGGGCGCCACAAUUCCGGAGAGAUCAAAAAAAUCCGAGAAAAACGGCAAAAAAUUCGAUGAUUUUUUGAAUGAUGAUGAUGAUGAUAGUGAAAAUGAUGUCGGAGGAGGCUCAGAGGAUGAUGAAGAGGAGGAAAUCGUGAUGAAGAGUAAACGAAUUAUUCCGGAUUCUGAGGAUGAAGAGGAGCACAUUGAGCAAGAAGAAGCUCAAAAGAAAUUGGAAAAAGUCGCUGAAAAACCAAAUACUCUAAUGGGAAUGAUUGCUGGGAGAAAACGGAAGCUUGCUCAGCUGGAAAGUGAUUCUAGUGAUGAAAGUGACGAUGAUGAUAGUGCUGAAAAAGAAGAGAAAAAGCUACCAGCUGCAGAGGAUGAUAGUGAUUUGGAAGAGGAUGCUGUUAUUUAUAAGG